GGGCCCGUAGUCUAGCGGUUACGAAGGGAAAACGCCGCAAAUGACGUCACCCUUACACGGUGAAGGUCCCCAGUUCGAUCCUGGGCGGGCCCA
This 93-nucleotide transfer RNA is filed under the name Candidatus Woesearchaeota archaeon. Its description in RNAcentral is "tRNA-Val". It matches the Rfam family "tRNA". Rfam says of the family: Transfer RNA (tRNA) molecules are approximately 80 nucleotides in length. Their secondary structure includes four short double-helical elements and three loops (D, anti-codon, and T loops). Lineage: Archaea; Nanobdellati; Candidatus Woesearchaeota. The record is from RNAcentral.